This 594-nucleotide long non-coding RNA is filed under the name Salvator merianae (Argentine black and white tegu). RNAcentral describes it as "lncRNA (ENSSMRG00000021640.1)". Lineage: Eukaryota; Metazoa; Chordata; Lepidosauria; Squamata; Teiidae. The record is from RNAcentral.
GUAGUGUUUGUAAAACGGGAUUGUCUCGGGGCUUAGGGAGGAUACAACCCCCUGCCUGUUGCCUCCCAGAUAAAAAGGAGCUGCAAGCCAUUUUACAGAACAAAAAAGCAAGCUGGUGAUUGUGUAGGAGUUCUUCUGAAGUAGUCAGACUGGAAUCCUUGUCUUCUGUUAUAUGUUGAUGGAGCUUGUUCAGCCCUCUUGAAAAAUGAGAAGAUGAAAACAAAGCAUGAGUACUGGCAUACCUAAAAACUAGUCCACCCACCACAUAGGUAUGGAGUAAGAAGUGAGCAAUAAUUAUUCAUGUGAGUGCUCUGGAAGCCGGUUGUCUUGCUAGCCUGAAAAAGAAGCUUUUCAGGAAAGAACUUUGGCACUACAACGUGUAUUAGAGAAUUAUCCAGUGAGCAAAGGACCAUGCAUAUUGAGAUAAAACAAAGAAGAAACAGGUCAGUUCUUUUUGGAGAAAUUCUGUGAAUAAGCUGUAUCCUUCUCUUGAGAAGUGACUGCCUUCUAAGGUAGCAUCUAGCAGUCAAGAGCCUGGCCUAAUCUCUUCCUUCGCCAUAUAGAAACAGCUGAUGUGUUCGUAAUCUGAUUCAA